UUCCUACGGGGGGCAGCAGUGGGGAAUAUUGCACAAUGGGGGAAACCCUGAUGCAGCGACGCCGCGUGAGUGAAGAAGUAAUUCGUUAUGUAAAGCUCUAUCGGCAGGGAAGAAAGAAAUGACGGUACCUGACUAAGAAGCCCCGGCUAACUACGUGCCAGCAGCCGCGGUAAUACGUAGGGGGCAAGCGUUAUCCGGAUUUACUGGGUGUAAAGGGAGCGUAGACGGCAGUGCAAGUCUGAAGUGAAAGGCGGGGGCCCAACCCCCGGACUGCUUUGGAAACUGUGCUGCUG
RNAcentral lists this ribosomal RNA (293 nucleotides) under uncultured bacterium. Its description in RNAcentral is "partial 16S ribosomal RNA". It matches the Rfam family "Bacterial small subunit ribosomal RNA", at positions 336 to 643 of the family's 1533-position model. The record is from RNAcentral.